RNAcentral lists this ribosomal RNA (459 nucleotides) under Triticum aestivum (bread wheat). Its description in RNAcentral is "partial small subunit ribosomal RNA". Lineage: Eukaryota; Viridiplantae; Streptophyta; Magnoliopsida; Poales; Poaceae. The record is from RNAcentral.
AUGCGUGCCCUCUUCUGGAACAUCCGCGGUUUCGGCCAUGAUGGCCGCCGCCGCCAACUCAUUGAGUACAUGCGAGAUGAACACAUUGACAUUGUCGCCAUCCAAGAAACCAUGCGCAUGGAAUUCUCCCAACCGGAACUCGACCGCCUUAGCACCCACCUCUUCGCCUGGCAUUGGCUCCCUUCUAGUGGGAGCACGGGACAUUCCGGUGGCAUCCUAUUAGGCGUGAAGGAUGCCACCUUCGAGGUGGGCAGUAUGGACCGGGGCCAGUUCUUUGUUAGCAUGGAGCUUUUCGAACGCGCUCUCAACUUCAAGUGGGAGGUUAUUAUCGUCUACGGCCCCGCCGACCACAGUCGGUCCUCCUCCUUCCUCGAGGAGCUCCACCGGAAGGUUUCGGCUGCUUCACUUCCGGUGGUAGUUGGGGGCGAUUUUAACCUCCUGCGUUUCGCGGAAGACUAG